GACGAACGCUGGCGGCGUGCUUAACACAUGCAAGUCGAACGGAAAGGCCCUGCUUUUGUGGGGUGCUCGAGUGGCGAACGGGUGAGUAACACGUGAGUAACCUGCCCUUGACUUUGGGAUAACUUCAGGAAACUGGGGCUAAUACCGGAUAGGAGCUCCUGCUGCAUGGUGGGGGUUGGAAAGUUUCGGCGGUUGGGGAUGGACUCGCGGCUUAUCAGCUUGUUGGUGGGGUAGUGGCUUACCAAGGCUUUGACGGGUAGCCGGCCUGAGAGGGUGACCGGCCACAUUGGGACUGAGAUACGGCCCAGACUCCUACGGGAGGCAGCAGUGGGGAAUAUUGCACAAUGGGCGGAAGCCUGAUGCAGCAACGCCGCGUGCGGGAUGACGGCCUUCGGGUUGUAAACCGCUUUCGCCUGUGACGAAGCGUGAGUGACGGUAAUGGGUAAAGAAGCACCGGCUAACUACGUGCCAGCAGCCGCGGUGAUACGUAGGGUGCGAGCGUUGUCCGGAUUUAUUGGGCGUAAAGGGCUCGUAGGUGGUUGAUCGCGUCGGAAGUGUAAUCUUGGGGCUUAACCCUGAGCGUGCUUUCGAUACGGGUUGACUUGAGGAAGGUAGGGGAGAAUGGAAUCCCUGGUGGGAGCGGUGGAAUGCGCAGAUAUCAGGAGGAACACCAGUGGCGAAGGCGGUUCUCUGGGCCUUUCCUGACGCUGAGGAGCGAAAGCGUGGGGAGCGAACAGGCUUAGAUACCCUGGUAGUCCACGCUGUAAACGGCGGGUACUAGGUGUGGGGUCCAUUCCACGGGUUCCGUGCCGUAGCUAACGCUUUAAGUACCCCGCCUGGGGAGUACGGCCGCAAGGCUAAAACUCAAAGGAAUUGACGGGGCCCCGCACAAGCGGCGGAGCAUGCGGAUUAAUUCGAUGCAACGCGUAGAACCUUACCUGGGUUUGACAUGGAUCGGGAGCGCUCAGAGAUGGGUGUGCCUCUUUUGGGGUCGGUUCACAGGUGGUGCAUGGCUGUCGUCAGCUCGUGUCGUGAGAUGUUGGGUUAAGUCCCGCAACGAGCGCAACCCUUGUUCACUGUUGCCAGCACGUUAUGGUGGGGACUCAGUGGAGACCGCCGGGGUCAACUCGGAGGAAGGUGGGGAUGACGUCAAGUCAUCAUGCCCCUUAUGUCCAGGGCUUCACGCAUGCUACAAUGGCUGGUACAGAGAGUGGCGAGCCUGUGAGGGUGAGCGAAUCUCGGAAAGCCGGUCUCAGUUCGGAUUGGGGUCUGCAACUCGACCUCAUGAAGUCGGAGUCGCUAGUAAUCGCAGAUCAGCAACGCUGCGGUGAAUACGUUCCCGGGGCU
This 1347-nucleotide ribosomal RNA is filed under the name uncultured bacterium. RNAcentral's name for it is "bacterial SSU rRNA". It matches the Rfam family "Bacterial small subunit ribosomal RNA", at positions 28 to 1381 of the family's 1533-position model. The record is from RNAcentral.